This 508-nucleotide ribosomal RNA is filed under the name uncultured bacterium. Its description in RNAcentral is "partial 16S ribosomal RNA". It matches the Rfam family "Bacterial small subunit ribosomal RNA", at positions 30 to 523 of the family's 1533-position model. The record is from RNAcentral.
AUUGAACGCUGGCGGCAUGCCUUACACAUGCAAGUCGAACGGCAGCGGGGGAGAAGCUUGCUUUUCCUGCCGGCGAGUGGCGAACGGGUGAGUAAUACAUCGGAACGUGCCCUGUAGUGGGGGAUAACUAGUCGAAAGAUUAGCUAAUACCGCAUACGACCUGAGGGUGAAAGUGGGGGACCGCAAGGCCUCAUGCUAUAGGAGCGGCCGAUGUCUGAUUAGCUAGUUGGUGGGGUAAAGGCCUACCAAGGCGACGAUCAGUAGCUGGUCUGGGAGGACGAUCAGCCACACUGGGACUGGGACACGGCCCAGACUCCUACGGGAGGCAGCAGUGGGGAAUUUUGGACAAUGGGCGAAAGCCUGAUCCAGCAAUGCCGCGUGUGUGAAGAAGGCCUUCGGGUUGUAAAGCACUUUUGUCCGGAAAGAAAUGGCUCUGGUUAAUACCUGGGGUCGAUGGCGGUACCGGAAGAAUAAGGACCGGCUAACUACGUGCCAGCAGCCGCCGUAA